GUGGGGAAUAUUGCACAAUGGGGGAAACCCUGAUGCAGCGACGCCGCGUGAGCGAAGAAGUAUUUCGGUAUGUAAAGCUCUAUCAGCAGGGAAGAAAAAAUGACGGUACCUGACUAAGAAGCACCGGCUAAAUACGUGCCAGCAGCCGCGGUAAUACGUAUGGUGCAAGCGUUAUCCGGAUUUACUGGGUGUAAAGGGAGCGCAGGCGGUACGGCAAGUCUGAUGUGAAAGCCCGGGGCUCAACCCCGGUACUGCAUUGGAAACUGUCGGACUAGAGUGUCGGAGGGGUAAGUGGAAUUCCUAGUGUAGCGGUGAAAUGCGUAGAUAUUAGGAGGAACACCAGUGGCGAAGGCGGCUUACUGGACGAUUACUGACGCUGAGGCUCGAAAGCGUGGGGAGCAAACAGG
RNAcentral lists this ribosomal RNA (407 nucleotides) under uncultured bacterium. RNAcentral's name for it is "bacterial SSU rRNA". It matches the Rfam family "Bacterial small subunit ribosomal RNA", at positions 354 to 776 of the family's 1533-position model. The record is from RNAcentral.